RNAcentral lists this ribosomal RNA (347 nucleotides) under uncultured Anaerolineaceae bacterium. Its description in RNAcentral is "bacterial SSU rRNA". It matches the Rfam family "Bacterial small subunit ribosomal RNA", at positions 1024 to 1382 of the family's 1533-position model. The record is from RNAcentral. Lineage: Bacteria; Bacillati; Chloroflexota; Anaerolineae; Anaerolineales; Anaerolineaceae.
AGGGCUUGUCACAGGUGCUGCAUGGCUGUCGUCAGCUCGUGUCGUGAGAUGUUCGGUUAAGUCCGCUAACGAGCGCAACCCUCGCUGUGUGUUACAAGUGUCACACGGAACUGCCGGUCAUAAACCGGAGGAAGGUGGGGAUGACGUCAAGUCAGCAUGGCCUUUAUAUCCUGGGCUACACACACGCUACAAUGGGAAGGGACAAUAGGUUGCGAAGCCGCGAGGCGGAGCCAAUCCAGCAAAACUUACCCUCAGUUCAGAUUGCAGGCUGCAACUCGCCUGCAUGAAGUUGGAGUUGCUAGUAAACGCAGGUCAGCCAUACUGCGUUGAAUACGUUCCCGGGGCUU